UACGAAGGGGGCGAGCGUUGUUCGGAAUCACUGGGCGUAAAGAGCGCGCAGGCGGUCGUUCAAGUCGAGUGUGAAAGCCCCCGGCUCAACUGGGGAGGGUCAUUCGAUACUGAUCGACUUGAAGGCAGGAGAGGGAAGUGGAAUUCCCGGUGUAGUGGUGAAAUGCGUAGAUAUCGGGAGGAACACCAGUGGCGAAGGCGACUUCCUGGCCUGUUCUUGACGCUGAGGCGCGAAAGCUAGGGGAGCAAACGGG
This 253-nucleotide ribosomal RNA is filed under the name uncultured bacterium. Its description in RNAcentral is "partial 16S ribosomal RNA". It matches the Rfam family "Bacterial small subunit ribosomal RNA", at positions 524 to 776 of the family's 1533-position model. The record is from RNAcentral.